This 118-nucleotide ribosomal RNA is filed under the name Pteropus alecto (black flying fox). The record is from RNAcentral. Lineage: Eukaryota; Metazoa; Chordata; Mammalia; Chiroptera; Pteropodidae.
GUCUAUGGCCAUGCUACCCUGAACAUGCCCGAUUCCGUCUGAUCUCGGAAGUAAGCAGCGUCAGGCCUGGUCAGUACGUGGAUGGGAGACCACCUAGCAAGACCAGGCGCUGUAGGUG